UGCAAUUGUAUUUAAAGAAGGGCAUAGUUUGCUGAACACAGUACAUAGCUAAGAUAUAUAGAAUCAUAGAAGAAGCGUUAUCAAUUAUAACAUAUAUGUUUCGUGUUGCAGUUUCAAUGAACACAUAUAUCUCUGAUUAUAAAAUGAUUAAUGAUGUAUUGACAAUUAAUUGUAAGUUUCUAAGAUAAGGCCCUUUUCUCAGUUACGAUACAGUGUACAUACAUAAAGCAAUGUGUUUAGACUUUAGAGGAACAAAAAGUCAGUGUGGUUACUGCUGCUGUUUGAGAUAUGAUGUGACUGGUGUUCACCAUUAUUUUGAGUAUGGGGAUGUUUUGAUUAGUCAGCUACUCUUUUUAAAAAUGGUCAAUAAUUAACAAUACCGUUACAAUUGUCAAACCAAAACAAGUCUAAUAUUUUCUGAUUAGGACCUUUAACUGCACCAUAAAAACUGUAUGAGGCAAAAGUUGUACAAUAAAAUAUUAUGAUGUAAACCACACAAUAUAAUGACGUAAAUGGUCAACAGGUUAUCUAACCUUAUGUCCUGACCUAGGCAAGUGAUUAUUUAAUAUAAGUCACUAGCAUUAUUAAAUUUUCUUUUAUUUCUAAGAAUGCUGUGAAAGUAUAGUGAAAUAGAUAUUAUUUUCUAGAAUCUCAGAAAUUUUUUGAUACCAUGUGUUUUUUAUCAUGGCUAUUGAGCCAUGAUAAAACACUUGUGUAAUUGUUGGUUGUAUUGGUUACCUUGGUAAAUUACAUACAAACUAAUUUAAGUGGAUGUCUUCUAUGCGAGUAAUAAGUUGAUCAGCAAGUAGCAGAACUGUCUUCAGGGAGAAACGGCGUGAACAGAAGUUAAAAAGAUCUUCUAAAGAUGGGCCUAAUAGUUCCAUCACCAUCACAUUGUAAUCUCCUUCUGAGCCACACCAUUUUAUUGCAGGAAUACCAACUGGUGAAUAAAAAUAAGAUUAGUAUAAACAUUACUUUAAUCUGUAUAUCUUAAUACAUUAUCUAUUUAUUAUCACAAUUUUGAAAUAUAUUUAUUUAAUAAUAUAAAUGGCAAUGGGAAUAGUCCCUAAUAGAGUAGGACAGUUAACUAUAUUAUAACUAACAUCUUAUUUGUUAACAUCUCUAGUUUAGAUGAUUUAUAUAUUCAAAAUAAAGCAUUAGUUAUUGGAUAA
Long non-coding RNA from Pieris napi, 1172 nucleotides. RefSeq lists it as uncharacterized. The record is from RefSeq and is a predicted model, not a curated record. NCBI's taxonomy places the organism in Eukaryota, Metazoa, Arthropoda, Insecta, Lepidoptera, Pieridae. The transcript has 2 exons.